AUAAACUGAUGAGUAAAGAUUGUGCGCCAUACUAGCUGCUGAACUUGAUCGACAACGAAAUCUGGGUUGUUUUGUGAACAAUCAAAGAUUCUAUAACUCACUAUGAUGUCAAAGAAACUCCUUCUAGUAUUUGCGGUUGUGAUGCUGGCCGUGUCUUUGAAUGAAUCAGCGCCAAGAGUUAAGAACUCGAGCCUCGAUCGACUCUUGAGGCUUUUGAAAGCCAGGAAGCAGUAUGACGAUGACGACUGCGGCCCAACAAUAUGUGAUGGUCAAGGUGRCUGCUGUGAUGAUUGGAUUUGUUCAAAUGGGCAAUGUGAGCCAUAAAAAGGCGAAACAAGAAAUAAUAAUGGAUUUCGUGUAUAGAGAUAGGUUAAAAGCACGAGAAAUAAAUCUUAAGCUAGUCACUUUCACUUUUUUUACAACUGUAAAUCCCUGAUUGGUCGAGAGGCGUAUUAAUAAUCCAMGUCGCGCAUGCGUAAAGUAGAAAUAGUCUCUGGGGACAAGAUUGGAAUCUAGCAUGUAGAUCAGAUAGGAAGAUGCAUUUGAACGAGAUCACACUGGUACCACAUACGAAUCGAUAGUAAGAGGAAGAUUAUAUAUUGUCAUAAGCAUGCUAAUUUUAUAUUUCAUGUAGAAUUAUUCACACUUGACUUGGAAAUAGAAAAUGUUCGCGACAGAUACAUAGAUUGGCAAAAAGGUAAAACUAAAGUCUGCCAAGCCUAUGGUUACUAUAUGAAUAGUCUAUUGAUAUAGCUAAUUCACUAAUUCACAAUAUUCGAUUGAUUUUUAAAUAAAAAAAAAUGAUU
Molecule: long non-coding RNA, 806 nt
Organism: Exaiptasia diaphana
Lineage: Eukaryota; Metazoa; Cnidaria; Anthozoa; Actiniaria; Aiptasiidae
Exons: 4
Source: RefSeq, a predicted model, not a curated record